Molecule: ribosomal RNA, 427 nt
Filed under: uncultured bacterium
Lineage: Bacteria
Description: partial 16S ribosomal RNA
Rfam family: Bacterial small subunit ribosomal RNA
Source: RNAcentral
UGGGGAAUAUUGGACAAUGGGCGAAAGCCUGAUCCAGCCAUGCCGCGUGUGUGAAGAAGGUCUUCGGAUUGUAAAGCACUUUAAGUUGGGAGGAAGGGCAUUAACCUAAUACGUUAGUGUUUUGACGUUACCGACAGAAUAAGCACCGGCUAACUCUGUGCCAGCAGCCGCGGUAAUACAGAGGGUGCAAGCGUUAAUCGGAAUUACUGGGCGUAAAGCGCGCGUAGGUGGUUUGUUAAGUUGGAUGUGAAAUCGCCGGGCUCAACCUGGGAACUGCAUUCAAAACUGACUGACUAGAGUAUGGUAGAGGGUGGUGGAAUUUCCUGUGUAGCGGUGAAAUGCGUAGAUAUAGGAAGGAACACCAGUGGCGAAGGCGACCACCUGGACUAAUACUGACACUGAGGUGCGAAAGCGUGGGGAGCAAACA